This 486-nucleotide ribosomal RNA is filed under the name uncultured bacterium. RNAcentral's name for it is "partial 16S ribosomal RNA". It matches the Rfam family "Bacterial small subunit ribosomal RNA", at positions 30 to 507 of the family's 1533-position model. The record is from RNAcentral.
AUUGAACGCUGGCGGCAUGCCUUACACAUGCAAGUCGAACGGCAGCACGGGUGCUUGCACCUGGUGGCGAGUGGCGAACGGGUGAGUAAUACAUCGGAACAUGUCCUGUAGUGGGGGAUAGCCCGGCGAAAGCCGGAUUAAUACCGCAUACGAUCUACGGAUGAAAGCGGGUGACCUUAGGGCCUCGCGCUAUAGGGCUAGCAGAUGGCUGAUUAGUUAGUUGGUGGGGUAAAGGCCUACCAAGGCGACGAGCAGUAGCUGGUCUGAGAGGACGACCAGCCACACUGGAACUGAGACACGGCCCAGACUCCAACGGGAGGCAGCAGUGGGGAAUUUUGGACAAGGGGCGAAAGCCUGAUCCAGCAAUGCCGCGUGUUUGAAGAAGGCUUUCGGGUUGUAAAGCACUUUUGUCCGGAAAGAAAACCUUGGCCCUAAUACGGUCGGGGGAUGACGGUACCGUAAGAAUAAGCACCGGCUAACUACGUG